This 253-nucleotide ribosomal RNA is filed under the name uncultured bacterium. Its description in RNAcentral is "partial 16S ribosomal RNA". It matches the Rfam family "Bacterial small subunit ribosomal RNA", at positions 524 to 776 of the family's 1533-position model. The record is from RNAcentral.
UACGUAGGGGGCGAGCGUUGUCCGGAGUUACUGGGCGUAAAGCGCACGCAGGCGGUCUGCUAAGUUUGGAGUGACAGUUGGUGGCUCAACCACCAAAGUGCUUUGAAAACUGACAGACUUGAGGGCUUCAGAGGGACACGGAAUUCCGGGUGGAGUGGUGAAAUGCGUAGAGAUCCGGAGGAACACCGAAGGCGAAGGCAGUGUCCUGGGGAGUACCUGACGCUCAGGUGCGAAAGCUAGGGGAGCGAACGGG